Molecule: ribosomal RNA, 645 nt
Filed under: uncultured bacterium
Lineage: Bacteria
Description: bacterial SSU rRNA
Rfam family: Bacterial small subunit ribosomal RNA
Source: RNAcentral
GAAGGGCGGGCUAAACCCGCGUACAUGCCACCGGGGCAUCCCGGAGGCAGGAAAGGCUUCGGCCGGACAGGGAUGGGCAUGCGGCGCAUUAGGCAGUAGGCGGGGUAACGGCCCACCUAACCGACGAUGCGUAGGGGUUCUGAGAGGAAGGUCCCCCACACUGGUACUGAGACACGGACCAGACUCCUACGGGAGGCAGCAGUGAGGAAUAUUGGUCAAUGGUCGGGAGACUGAACCAGCCAAGCCGCGUGAGGGAUGAAGGUACAGAGUAUCGUAAACCUCUUUUGUCGGGGAACAAAGGCGGGGACGUGUCCCCGGAUGAGUGUACCUGAAGAAAAAGCAUCGGCUAACUCCGUGCCAGCAGCCGCGGUAAUACGGAGGAUGCGAGCGUUAUCCGGAUUUAUUGGGUUUAAAGGGUGCGCAGGCGGUCUGUUAAGCCAGCGGUCAAAGCCCGGGGCUCAACCCCGGCCCGCCGUUGAAACUGGCAGUCUCGAGUUGGAGAGAAGUAUGCGGAAUGCGCGGUGUAGCGGUGAAAUGCAUAGAUAUCGCGCAGAACUCCGAUUGCGAAGGCAGCAUGCCGGCUCCACACUGACGCUGAGGCACGAAAGCGUGGGUAUCGAACAGGAUUAGGUACCCUGGUAGUCC